GUCUACGGCCAUGCUACCCUGAACAAGCCCGAUUCCAUCUGAUUUCAGAAAUUAAGCAGGGUCGGGCCUGGUUAGUACUUAGGAAGACCAGGUGCUGUAGGCA
Molecule: ribosomal RNA, 103 nt
Filed under: Pteropus alecto (black flying fox)
Lineage: Eukaryota; Metazoa; Chordata; Mammalia; Chiroptera; Pteropodidae
Source: RNAcentral